CAGGCCAGAUGUUUUGUCCUGCUACGUUAAGUCAUCUUGACAUACUGCCAUGAAAUGGAAACAACUGCUAGUUUUAACAUUGUUCCAUAUCUUUAUUAAAAGAGUCAUCAAUCUCAUGAGAGUCAUCUUGCCAUCUGUACCAGCAUUGCUCCAGGCUUCCAUAUGAAAGUCCAAUCUGGCGGUAUAAAUACUGGAUAAUGAAGAAGUCUUUACUCUGCACACCACUGCUGACCCCAGAUAUGACCCACAGGAACUACUGGCGAAAGGAGCAAAAAGGGGAAAAGAAUUAUCUUCUUGGUGGUCUUGUGUCCUCUGUGCUGGAUCUGCAGUUGUUUUCCACCUGUAAACUUGUUGGUCAAGCUUUUCGGCAUUUAUUCAAAUAAAAUUCUUAGGCACUCAG
Molecule: long non-coding RNA, 400 nt
Organism: Oxyura jamaicensis (ruddy duck)
Lineage: Eukaryota; Metazoa; Chordata; Aves; Anseriformes; Anatidae
Exons: 4
Source: RefSeq, a predicted model, not a curated record